UACGGUUUUAUUUCAAUUUAUGCAGUUAUAAUUUAAAAAACAGCCAAAGAAUAAAUCUGACAGUGAUACAAGGUAUCCUGAGAGGCCGGAGAAUGGAGUGUAUUUUAACGUCUUUUCUUAAAUCUCACAUAAACAGAGCAAAGUGUCUUUGGAUUAAGCAGCUAAACAUAAAGAAGAUAAACAAGGAUGUCUACGUUUGUUCAAAGUUGGUUGCCAGAUCGUCAGUGCUGCUUUGCGCUACCUGAAACUUUAAUCCUGGAACUUGAUUUUGUACAGGACCUCAAACCGCUGAAGACAGCAGAGAAACAAGUGUGUAUGGAGGACCAUAAAGACUGAGCAAGCCAUGAAGCCAUGGCCACAUUAUUUCUUCUCUCACAUUGACAACCGUCGUUUCAUCCAAAAAAAAAUAUGUGCUUUGUACUAUGCCAGCGAACUGGACUACUCUUCCUGUGCAUCAUGGUCCGUGGUCGACUGGACAACGUGAAACCAUUGCAGUUUACACAAAGGACAGGAGAGACAGAAGCCUCGUCUAUGAAGGCUUCAUUUGUCCAUCUGCUCCUGAAACGGUGCCUAUGUCGUUCUUGCAGCAACCACCAAGGCAGAAAGGCUUUGCAAAGAAGUAUGCAAAACUGCUAGAGAAGAUCAAAGUCAAAGAGGAAGAGGCUGAAGCUCAGAGAAAGAUCAUCCCAGAAGAUGAAGAUUCUGCGGCAAGCAGCAAACUGGAGCAAGGUGUUGUUGAAAAAGAGUCAAGUGCAGUGCCAGGCCGUGUCGAUACAGCUGAUGAGUUAAAGACAGAGGCCUCCAGUGACAGUAAAAACAAACCUGAGAAAAUAUAUCUAUCCGG
Plectropomus leopardus (leopard coralgrouper) is the source of this 844-nucleotide non-coding RNA. The record is from RefSeq and is a predicted model, not a curated record. Lineage: Eukaryota; Metazoa; Chordata; Actinopteri; Perciformes; Serranidae.